AUUGGAAAACAUUAUUUCUCGGGGAAAUUUACUUCCUCAUCUGCAGGACAGUUCACAAGCUUUCGGCCUCCCUUGCACUGGGCAGUUCUCAGACUGAGCAGGGCGCUUCCUGGCACCAGCAGGACUGUUCUUAGCCCUGAAGAGAGAGCGCUUUCCAGCAGCCUAGGAGCAGGAGCGGCCUCAUCGCAGGCUGGACCCCCUUCCAUCUCGCCGGACCCAGAGAGGCAGCCGGGUAGCAGCGGAUCCCCACUUUCCAAUCACUGUCCUCUCUGGAACGUCAGGACCACCCCUUCGGGCUGCUGUCCUCUCACUUUGCUUCAGGUCCUCUAUUCCCCUCCCUCACUUCCCUGCCUCUAAAGCCAUGGCUCCUACCUGGCUGCAAAUCGCAGCCAUGGAGGAACUGUAUGAUAACUCAACGCGAAGCCCGUCCGGAAGUGAGACCAAGCACCUCCAGCGUCCAGCUCGCCAGGUGAUUCUGCAGCCCAGCUCUGUGUCCUGCUCAGCUACUGUUCUGGACCCCAAGACCGUGGCUAUCAGGAGAUAUGGACCACCUGUCCGGCAGCAUUUCCACCAACCAGUGUCCAGCUCCCGAACAUGAAGAGGUCUCAGCUGACUCUCAGAGAGCUGGGCCAGGGUGUAGGCACUGUCACACAGUGAGCUGACUGUGAUCUGUGCCCCUCCCAGGUCUGUCCCACCCUUGCACGUGCGUGUGCCCUGUGUGCUUGGACCUCUCCUUCAUUAAUGCCCAGGUCAGGGUCCAAGGAAACCCACGUGAAAUCACACUUUCCAUGUCAGUGUUUUAGGUAGUUCUCCUCUACUGAACCAAUGCAUUUUUCAUAUAUACACUAAAGGAAAGAGAGGAAGAAUGAUAUUUGCCAACUUUGAUAACAUUUUUUAAGAGAAGCCUUCAGGAUUUAUUAACUGCUUAUUUUAACUAAAAUAUACUGUUAUGGCUUGUGUCUAGAUGUCCCCCCAAGCCUCGUGCAGUCAUAGGUGGGCCAAUGGGACUAUUCAGAGGGGGCUGAAUCUAGAGUGUGUGGUGCUGGAUCAGGGGUGUAUGAUUACUGAAUUAGUCCACUGAUGAGCUCUCCACAGUUCACAGAAGGCCCACCCUGGGUGUAAGUGCUUCCCGUCCCAAGGGCGUGUUGCCUGGGUCCUAUAGAAGGGACAGAAGGAGAACUGCUAUUGUUCACUUGCUGCCUUCUGCUUUUGCUGCCUCCUGCCUACCAUAAGCUGUUUCUCCUCUUUGAUGCCCUCUGCUCUGCCACUCUGCCUUGGAGCCAGCCAACUCUGAACUGAAACCUCUACACACUGUGAGCUAAAUAAACCUUUCCUGUUUAACUUUGGAUGCCAGGUAUUUUCUCUCAGCAAUGAGAAAAGUAACUAAGAUAUGCACAUAAGUAUUAAAAGCCUAAAUGCAUUGCAUGUAAAAAUAUUUCUUUUUCAAAAUUCAAGUAUUAGAAAGGACCUCCUAUUUGUAUGUUAUUACUUGUUUUAUACAAAUAUAUAUUCUAAUUGGCAUGUAUUUAUUUAGAAAAGAAGAUGAUGCAGAAAAAAAGAUCACCAUUGCUCAAGAAAUAAUGGCAAAGAAAAAGUGACCUAUGUAAUGCAAUCCUCAGUUCACUAAAGCUUCUGUUCACUAGCAAUUCAGUUCGUAAGCAGAAGCAUUCAGCAAAAUUGUGCUUCCACUUAUGAACUCCACACUGGGUGAUGAACACAACCAUGGCCAUCUUCCCCAAAAUUGUGGAACAAAUUAAAUAUGAGGUACCAGUGUAUUUAGUUGACUAUUAUUGAUUUCUUAUUCCAAUAUAUCAAAAAAAGAGUUUAUUUUUGCUAUCACAAAUGAAGUUAUAUGCAAUUACUGUCCUAAGUCAAAUAGAUUGAAUACUCCUGGGCUAUCUAAUGAGUAUUACAAGAGUUUCCAACAUGGCAACCUAGUCUGUCCAGUGACACAAGAAUGCUGUUUUCCCCUCAAUCUCUCGUGGUUAUGUUAAGAUUAUAUCUUCCUCCAUAACAAUUUCCCUUGCAGAGCCACAAUGAACUCAAGCAGGCCAGUUACCAUGUGUUGUUAUGACUAAUGAGACUUCAUUUUGUUUUAAAUUUAUUGCCUCUUUUUCUAUUUAAAUGAUCAGACAGCACUGUUGGAAAUCAUAUCUUGUUUGGUUUUUACUGCUUUACAUUUUCAGUGUAUCUCUGAAAGGUUGUGAAUACACAGUGGACAGUCCAAUACAAUCGAUAAUUCCAAGUGUCAAGGAACCAAGUGAUGAUCUUCCUGUAAUAAUGAAUAAAUAAUUAGACAUCAUGCAGAAAGAUUUCUCAUCUUGUGACUCUAGAAACCAGUAUCUGGCAAUGUUUACAUAACAUCACAAAAUUUCUUGCAUUUCUACUUUGAAAUAAAUGUUAUAGUGAAAUACUAUAUGGAUUUCAGAUAAUAAAA
Heterocephalus glaber (naked mole-rat) is the source of this 2437-nucleotide non-coding RNA. NCBI's taxonomy places the organism in Eukaryota, Metazoa, Chordata, Mammalia, Rodentia, Bathyergidae. The record is from RefSeq and is a predicted model, not a curated record.